UUCAGAUUGCAGUCUGCAACUCGACUGCAUGAAGUCGGAAUCGCUAGUAAUCGCGGAUCAGCAUGCCGCGGUGAAUACGUUCCCGGGCCUUGUACACACCGCCCGUCACACCAUGAGAGUCGGGAACACCCGAAGUCCGUAGCCUAACCGCAAGGGGGCGCGGCUGAAGGUGGGUUCGAUAAUUGGGGUGAAGUCGUAACAAGGUAGC
RNAcentral lists this ribosomal RNA (208 nucleotides) under uncultured bacterium. RNAcentral describes it as "partial 16S ribosomal RNA". It matches the Rfam family "Bacterial small subunit ribosomal RNA", at positions 1292 to 1500 of the family's 1533-position model. The record is from RNAcentral.